This 253-nucleotide ribosomal RNA is filed under the name uncultured bacterium. RNAcentral's name for it is "partial 16S ribosomal RNA". It matches the Rfam family "Bacterial small subunit ribosomal RNA", at positions 524 to 776 of the family's 1533-position model. The record is from RNAcentral.
UACGGGGGGGGCAAGCGUUGUUCGGAAUUACUGGGCGUAAAGGGCGCGUAGGCGGCCUGCUAAGUCGGACGUGAAAUCCCUCGGCUCAACCGAGGAACUGCGUCCGAUACUGGUGGGCUUGAAUCCGGGAGAGGGAUGUGGAAUUCCAGGUGUAGCGGUGAAAUGCGUAGAUAUCUGGAGGAACACCGGUGGCGAAGGCGGCAUUCUGGACCAUAACUGACACUGAGAGACGAAAGCCAGGGGAGCAAACGGG